RNAcentral lists this ribosomal RNA (693 nucleotides) under Triticum aestivum (bread wheat). RNAcentral describes it as "partial small subunit ribosomal RNA". Lineage: Eukaryota; Viridiplantae; Streptophyta; Magnoliopsida; Poales; Poaceae. The record is from RNAcentral.
AUGGAUUUGAACCCAUCGGUGACGUGCUGGAACGUUCGAGGUUUGAACAACCCAGCGAAGAGACAAGCGGUCAAAGACUUCCUAAUGUCGGUGCGGCCUAAUCUAGUGUGUUUGCAAGAAACUAAGCUCGAUGUAGUUGAUAACUUCCUCUUAAUGCAAUGCUGUGGACCGUCCUUAGAUGGGUUUGCUUAUCUACCGGCGAUCGAAACGAGAGGUGUGAUUAUCCUUGCUUGGUACACCACUGUGAUGACAGUCGAUCACAUCUCGUGUGACACAAACUCCAUCACUGGGCUGGUGCACCCCAAGUCAGGUGAGGACUGGUGGGUCAUGGUGGUCUAUGGGCCACAAGGGAACGACCUCAAGACACUAUUCUUUGAGGAGCUGACAGCAAGGCGAGCAACUUUCCUGGGACCAUGGAUGGUCCUCGGCGAUUUCAACCUAAUUCUUAGAGCUUCGGAGAAAAACAACUUGAAUCUUAACAGGGCCAUGAUGAACAAGUUUAGGAGCUUCGUCGACAAUAAUGAACUCAAAGAGAUCUACAUGCACGGGCGUCAUUUUACAUGGUCGAAUGAGAGAGAUGCCCUGACAAUGACUAAAAUCGAUCGGAUCCUCGUCUCGGUGGAUUGGGAAUUGGCGAGUGUCGGUGUCAAAACCGCCGGAUCUCCGGUAGGGGGUCCCGAACUGUACAUCUAG